This 293-nucleotide ribosomal RNA is filed under the name uncultured bacterium. RNAcentral's name for it is "partial 16S ribosomal RNA". It matches the Rfam family "Bacterial small subunit ribosomal RNA", at positions 775 to 1067 of the family's 1533-position model. The record is from RNAcentral.
GGAUUAGAUACCCUGGUAGUCCACGCCGUAAACGAUGUCUACUAGUUGUCUGAGAGUUUAACUUUUGGGUAACGCAGCUAACGCAUUAAGUAGACCGCCUGGGGAGUACGGCCGCAAGGUUAAAACUCAAAUGAAUUGACGGGGGCCCGCACAAGCGGUGGAGCAUGUGGUUUAAUUCGAUGCAACGCGAAGAACCUUACCUCCCCUUGACAUACAGUGAACUUUCCAGAGAUGGAUUGGUGCCUUCGGGAACACUGAUACAGGUGCUGCAUGGCUGUCGUCAGCUCGUGCCG